GCUGGGCGUGGUGGCGCACGCCUGUAAUCCCAGCUACUGGGGAGGCUGAGGCAGGAGAAUCUCUUGAACCCGGGAGGCGGAGGCUGCAGUGAGCCGAGAUCGCGCUGCUGCACUUUGGCCUGGGUAACAGACUGAGACUCUGUCUCAA
RNAcentral lists this non-coding RNA (148 nucleotides) under Nomascus leucogenys (northern white-cheeked gibbon). Lineage: Eukaryota; Metazoa; Chordata; Mammalia; Primates; Hylobatidae. The record is from Rfam by way of RNAcentral.